This 196-nucleotide ribosomal RNA is filed under the name uncultured bacterium C3. RNAcentral's name for it is "partial 16S ribosomal RNA". It matches the Rfam family "Bacterial small subunit ribosomal RNA", at positions 55 to 285 of the family's 1533-position model. The record is from RNAcentral.
UGCGAGCUAAAUGCAAGUCGACGUAAAAGCUUGCUCUGAGACGCGACGGUAGUAAUGCCUAGGAAUCUGCUGAUAGUGGGGAUAACGUUCGGAAACGGACGCUAAUACCGCAUACGACCUNGCCUUGCGCUAUCAGAUGAGCCUAGGUCGGAUUAGCUAGUUGGUGAGGUAAUGGCUCACCAAGGCGACGAUCGUA